Molecule: long non-coding RNA, 1022 nt
Filed under: Marmota monax (woodchuck)
Lineage: Eukaryota; Metazoa; Chordata; Mammalia; Rodentia; Sciuridae
Source: RNAcentral
CUUCAUGCCUUUCUCAAAAGCUACAGUAACCAAGAGAAUGAGUACUGGUAUGAAGAGAGACAAGUAAUUUCAUGAAAUAAAAUGGAGAGUCUUCACAGGUAUAGUCAAAGGGUUUCCAACGAGAGCAUCAAGACAACCCACUGCAGGUGUCGCAGGAUGAUCAGAAUGAAGUGGAGCCUCCUACCUGCCCCAUUUACAAAAGCAACUCAAAUUGGAUCAUCUAACAAGGGGGAGAACCCAAGCCACAAGACUCUGAAAACACUGGAGGAAUAAAUCUUCAUGAUGGUGGGUUAGACCAUCGUUUCUUAGCUAUCACCAAAAGCAUAGCAAUGAGAGAGAAAAAAGUAUAAAUUGGAGCUUGCCCGACCACAAACUCUUGUGCUACAAACAACAGCAUCAAGGAACUGAAAAGACCGUGAUGAGAGUAAGAUAAGAUGUCUCGGAGACACACAGGACUGAUACCUGGAAUACAGGGAGAGCUGAGAUCCGUACGUGUACACACGUCUAUUUAGCAUAUGCAGCACAUAUGUAUUGUAUAUAUGGGUCUGGCACUUCAGAGAAAGAGAAAGGUGGGAUGACAACCAAGAGAUGAGUCAUGGGGGUCAACUGUGCGUGUCACUAGGAUGAGCAGGCAAAGCUGAACGCCUCAGAGGAGGAGGCCUGAGAACCCAGCAUUUAAAGAAUCAGCGGAAAAGCAGCUGGCUACUGUGAGGUCCAGGAAGAAGAAACAGAAAGAAAGGCAGCCAUCACAGACAGUGAAAGGCGAGCAUCCAGAGACGCCCGAAGCCUCCCAGCAGGAUGGGUCCCCAUGAAGUGUGCAUCGGGGCAGAGUAAGGUACAUACCAUGAUGGAGAAAGGGGACACCUUAGAAGGUAAAGAAGCUUACCAUGAUGUACGCUAUUUUUAAAACCUUGCUCCAUUUUGUUUUAAAUGCCAGUUACAUCUCAAUAGAUUAUUAUUUUUUUUUGUACCAGGGAUUGAACCCAAGGGUGCUCAACCUCUAAGCCACAUCCCCAGCCCUC